CCACCAGCGCUCAUAGUCAUUACGUACACGCGCACGUCGAGGCACCCUCGCACUUGUCAUGGCAUUGCAGAACUACAACCUCAGCUGGUCGGACCAGCUCAUUGAGCGGGUGGAGACGCACCUCCGCGACGUCCACAGCGCGCUCCUGCAGUACUACGAGAGCCGCGGCUACCCCACGGAGGUUGAAAGCCGCCACGCGGUGACUGCCGAGGCAGCAGCAGCGGCGGGGACUAGGGACGAAGGAGAGCGCACCACUGUUGCAGCUACUGCGGCCGCUGUCCCGUUGGAUGUCGUCAGCGCUGCCGGUAGCUUCUUGCUCCGCACCUGCGUGUACGACACGCCGUUUCCAGAUCUGCACGCGCAGCGUGGCGUCGGCGCUGACUUGGUGCUCUCCAUUCCUGCCGAGCGCUGCACCACUGCGGAUUUGAAAGGCGGCCUCUACCUCGAGCGCCGUCAGUCGUUUGUCGAUGAGAUCCAGGCCUACUUGCAGCAGCUCGUGAGCGGUGCCGCUACCGACGAGGACAUCGACGAGGACAACGAGGAGGGUCGCAGCGCGUCUUCUCGCAGUCGCCAGCGCAGCGAAAAGGCAACGCAAGAGGCAGCAAAGAGGCUGCUGAACGUGGCCGCCGCCGCGCGGCUCAGUCGCAUGGAGGUGCGUGUGGUGCCGAUUCACGGGUGCUACGCACUGACAGAAAAGCAGAUUCUGCAGCUGCGCUUCCGCCGGCGUCGCUCCGCCGCGGAAAUCUACGAGACCUUCUUCGUGAAUCUGCACUUCCGCCCCUCCGUCUUCCCUAGGCACACCGUGAGCGCGGCGGGUAUCCGCAAGCAUCCGUACUACAGCUACUGCAUCCUGGAAGACUACCUCAUGCCGCAUUAUCUGAAGAAGCUGCAUGAGGUGUGCGUCGCCAGCGCCGGUGUCCGCCGCGCAAUCGUCGUGCUCAAGUGCUGGGCUCAUCACACCGGUCUCAUGUCCGCCGCUUCGGGGCAUCCGGAGGCGCUGAACGGGUUCGUCGUUGCUGCCAUGGUGUUACGUCUGCUCGAGGAGGGCAUCGUGACGGCGGGGAUGUCUCUGGGCAACGUUGUGCGCGCUGUGUGGGUGCAGCUCUCACGUGGUUUCUUCCUUGGCACACCAGAGAAGGUCGGCGGCAGGGGCGCCCGCCCUGCCAAGGUGUCGGCGGCGGAGGAGAGGGGCGAGGUGAGUGUGCUGCGCCUCACCGGCGAGCUGCACAAUAUCCUCUUCCGCACCUCCGCUGCCUUCUUCAAGCACGUGGUGUGCUCUGCCGCGGAGGAAGCCCUGCAGCACCCGUUCGCCGUCGACGUAGUCGAUCGCGUCGCCUUUCAGCCUCUGUCGCUGCGCUACGACGUGGCCCUCACCAUCCAGCUGAACCAAGCUACCACGUCCUCUGUGGCGACGAUGGAUCGCACUCCGGAUGUCAUCAAGAAGAGCACUCUCUGGCGCCCCCCACGCGCCGAGGCGAUCCAGGACACGCUGCGAGUGCUGAAGGAAGCACUCGGUGUGCGGUGCAGCUACACCACAGCCUGGCAAACCGACGCAGACCGUCUGCAGGUUGUGGUGCAGCUCACCAGUGAGGCCGAGGGCCGCAACCGCCUCACCCGCGGCCCACCCAUCGAAGACGCCAGCGCUGUCGAGCGCUUCAACGCAUUCUGGGGAGCCGAUAUCACCUCGACACGCCAAUUCAGUGAUGGCGCCAUCUACCGCUGCGUGCUGUGGACCUUUCCGGAGGACCAGGGCACGCACACGACCGUGGCCUUGUCCGCCUCGACAGUGCUGCGCCGCGUCGUCGAGUUUGCGCUGCGCGCGCACGUCGCGCCCGAGGCGACAGUGACGGUGCUGCUUGGCGGCCUGGAUGGAUACCUCGUGGAGCGGGUCGGCGGCGAGUGGCGUGACGCCGCCCCGCUGAUGCAGCGCAGCCUCCUCGAAGCAACCAAGGCGGUGCAGUACAUGCUGCAGAGCCUGCCGCAUGGCAGCGUGCCCUGUCGCAUCGUCUCCUUCGACGUCAUCGCCGCCAGCGAGCGCCACACCGAGGUGUUCCCGGUUCGCCCGCACUUGGCUCUCACGUACACGACGGACGACCUCUCGGACGCGAGCUUCGCGGGACUGAGCACGGCGCCAACGAUAGAGCCAAUCCACUGCGUGCUUAGCAUCGACGACAACCACAAGAUCCCCGACACCAUGGAGGCGAUUGCGAUGAUGAAGGGCGCCAUCGCCGCCCAGCUGUCCAAGACGCUGCAGGCACACUACGGAGAGAACAACACCGGCACCCGGUCGCAGACGGCUCGCAGAAAGGCGGCGGAGGGUGCCAGUAGCAGCAGCGACAUUGUGCGCAGCCCAAUCCGCACCCAGUGCACUGGCCAAUCGGUCGAUAUCAUCUACCGCGGCUACCUCUUCCGCGUCUACGUCGCCCAUUACCGUGAGGUGUCUCUCCUGCGUGCAUUGAAGCGUGACACGGAGGCGAACGUGCUGGAGAUGAAGCUGCACUGGACCGCACAGCAUGCCAAGUUCAUGCGCACCAUCGCAUUCGGACACCAUAGCUACUCGCAUGCGGUGAGGCUGGCGAAGCGGUGGAUGAGUGCCAUGUAUCUCUACGAGUUUGUGCAGCCGGAAGCCGUCGAGCUGCUCGUGGCGCACGCGUACCUGCAGCCGGCGCCGCACACGCCCAAGACACCUGCCGGAGGUUUCCUGCGCUUUGUGCAGCUCCUCGUCACGCAUGACUGGUCGACCCCGUUGGUGCUCCCCUUCACCGACGACGACAGUGACAAGACCGCCGUGGCGGCGGCGGCGCUGGUGCGCAAGCUUGGCGAUCAACAGGGCAUGUUCAUCGCCACACCGUACGCGCCGGCCGCGAGCCCGUUCACGGCGCUAACGCCGCGGCCAAUGAUUAUGGGCCGUCUUGUGCAGCUUGCCCAGUCGGUGGUGGCCGUGCUGCUGCGCCAUCUCGAGGGCCACAACGCGACAGCUGGUGAGGUGGAGGCGUUCACCUCCAGCCCGUGCGCCUUCGACUUUUCGAUGAAGUUCCACCCGCGCCUGCUGCUGCAGCCUGACCGGGCCCUCAGCAUCGGCGCGGCGGCACCGUCGGUGGCAUCUGCGCAGUCCGAAGCGGCGCAUCUUAAUGGAAUCGCGCCAGUUUCUAGCGAGGCGGACGCGCUGGCCGCAGAGGAAGCUGCCGCUGCAGCCAACGCUGUCAUCCGCAUCUGGCAACUGGACGAGUUGGACGCGGACACAAACGGGCGGGAGUACAUCAAUCAGCUCGUCGAACGCGAGCCGGCAGCGCACGCCGUGCGCAUCGUCCGUGCAGCGCUGCGUGAGCGUGGUAUGAUGUUCUACGACGCGCUCGCUCCGUCCUCCCUCUACGUGGUGAGCGUCAGCGCCGAAAGGCAGCUCGCCAAAAGCCGCCAGCUGCACGACGCCAUUCUGCAGGUGGGGCGAGGCGCACUUCUGCAGGCGCCGCCGAGCGCGUUCACUCCUGUCGCGGAGACGGCGCAUGACCCGGCCGCUGCUGCACGCAUCCAGCAGGAAUCUGAGGACGACCACGAGGACGGACAUGAUUGCAGCCACCAUCAUCACCGCGCCCCCGCGCAGCGCAGGGGGAAGGUGUCUACGCCGCUCCGCCAAGCCGCCUCGGACACGAAGAGCAAGAAGGGCAAGGCGUCCGCACGCCAGUAUCCGCUGCAGGACCACAAGCGCAGUCGCAGCAGCAACGACCACUGCAGCCUGGCUGCCGCUGCUGUUGCGGAGGCAGCGCAUGCGAAGAAGGGGAAGAAGGAAACGGCGGACAGGGUCAGCCCUUCCACAGCAGCCUCGCCCACGAUAGCGGCAGCAGAGGGGCGCUCUCAGAAAGCCUCUAAGGUCAAGAAGGCUUCCAAAAAGUGACGCGGCACGUGCGCCCACGUGCAUGUGCGUCGCGGUCUUGUGUUGUCGUUGUGUUGUUUCGUCUUAAUCACCACGAAUAACGGAGCGCAACGCCAGAGCAAGGACUAACGCGUACUAACUCUCCCUCCCUCUCUCCCUGCUUCCUGUCCUUGGGCUUGCCUCAUGGUCUGCUGUGCGUUUCUUUGAGGCACGUGUGUACGUGUGUCGUGAUCGAUGGGGGAGAGGGAGAGGAGCUGCCGGGGGGUGCGCGAGUGAGGCAGGGACCGCCUCGGAGAAGAGUGGGGAUGUCUCUCUUCCACUGAAUAAGCAGCGGGGCUGCAAAGGGCGUGCAGGGGAAGACGGUGAGCGAGUUGCACGAUGGGACGGGCUGCGGUGUCUCUCAAGAGAUGUAGUGCGUACUGACUUGCCAGCCCCCUCCUGGUCCCCCACGCACCAGCAGGGGAGAGGGGGGGUAUCUCAGCCUAACACCUCACCCAUCACGCCUCUUCACCGUCUGCGCCAUUAUCCCCUCCCUCUUCUUAAUCGCAGCUGCGCCUACUUUGAGCACGGUAACAG
Molecule: unclassified non-coding RNA, 4447 nt
Filed under: Leishmania donovani
Lineage: Eukaryota; Euglenozoa; Kinetoplastea; Trypanosomatida; Trypanosomatidae
Description: gene:LdHU3.18.1190(CDS-product:Nrap_protein_putat ive)
Source: RNAcentral